UGCUGCUUGGUGUAGGUGGAACAUACCCGUAUCUACGCGGGGGAAGGGGGUUCGAGUCCCUCAGCAGUUG
Molecule: non-coding RNA, 70 nt
Organism: Blyttiomyces helicus
Lineage: Eukaryota; Fungi; Chytridiomycota; Chytridiomycetes
Source: the annotation of a GenBank genome assembly